This 101-nucleotide ribosomal RNA is filed under the name Oncidium aloisii. RNAcentral describes it as "partial 18S ribosomal RNA". It matches the Rfam family "Eukaryotic small subunit ribosomal RNA", at positions 1731 to 1831 of the family's 1831-position model. Lineage: Eukaryota; Viridiplantae; Streptophyta; Magnoliopsida; Asparagales; Orchidaceae. The record is from RNAcentral. RNAcentral also lists the same sequence under 5 other names.
CGCCGCCCGCGACUCGGCGAGAAGUCCAUUGAACCUUAUCAUUUAGAGGAAGGAGAAGUCGUAACAAGGUUUCCGUAGGUGAACCUGCGGAAGGAUCAUUG